GCUUGUCUCAAAGAUUAAGCCAUGCAUGUCCAAGUAUAAGCAUUAUACCGUGAAACUGCGAAUGGCUCAUUAAAUCAGUUAUAGUUUAUUUGAUAGUCCCUACUACUUGGAUAACCGUAGUAAUUCUAGAGCUAAUACAUGCACACAGCCCCGACUUCUGGAAGGGGUGUAUUUAUUAGAUCAAACCAACCCUUCGGGUUUUUGGUGAAUCAUAAUAACUGAACGAACCGUAUGCAUUUGCGACGGUGGUUCAUUCAAGUUUCUGCCCUAUCAGCUUUCGAUGGUAGGGUAUUGGCCUACCAUGGCGUUAACGGGUAACGGAGAAUUAGGGUUCGAUUCCGGAGAGGGAGCCUGAGAGAUGGCUACCACAUCCAAGGAAGGCAGCAGG
RNAcentral lists this ribosomal RNA (388 nucleotides) under uncultured Bicosoecida. RNAcentral describes it as "partial small subunit ribosomal RNA". It matches the Rfam family "Eukaryotic small subunit ribosomal RNA", at positions 30 to 432 of the family's 1831-position model. The record is from RNAcentral. Lineage: Eukaryota; Bigyra; Bicosoecida.